GCGCGCAGGGACAGGGAAGCAUCGAUCAACGUUGACUCUUAAUCCGCGGGUUCGGGGUUCGAGUCCCUGGCGGCGCACCA
Molecule: transfer RNA, 80 nt
Filed under: Micromonospora echinospora
Lineage: Bacteria; Bacillati; Actinomycetota; Actinomycetes; Micromonosporales; Micromonosporaceae
Description: tRNA-Lys
Source: RNAcentral